RNAcentral lists this ribosomal RNA (400 nucleotides) under uncultured bacterium. Its description in RNAcentral is "bacterial SSU rRNA". It matches the Rfam family "Bacterial small subunit ribosomal RNA", at positions 359 to 776 of the family's 1533-position model. The record is from RNAcentral.
GAAUCUUGGACAAUGGGCGCAAGCCUGAUCCAGCCAUGCCGCGUGAGUGAUGAAGGCCCUAGGGUUGUAAAACUCUUUCGCCGAGGACGAUAAUGACGGUACUCGGAGAAGAAGCUCCUGCUACCUUCGUGCCAGCAGCCGCCGUCAUACGAAGGGGGCUAGAGUUGUUCGGAUUUACUGGGCGUAAAGCGCGUGUAGGCGGGGCGUUAAGUUGGGGGUGAAAUCCCGAGGCUCAACCUCGGAACUGCCUUCAAAACUGGCGACCUGGACUCAAGCAGAGGCAAGUGGAAUUGCGAGUGUAGAGGUGAAAUUCGUAGAUAUUCGCAGGAACACCAGUGGCGAAGGCGACUUGCUGGGCUUGUAGUGACGCUGAGACGCGAAAGCGUGGGGAGCAAACAGG